RNAcentral lists this ribosomal RNA (1440 nucleotides) under metagenome. Its description in RNAcentral is "bacterial SSU rRNA". It matches the Rfam family "Bacterial small subunit ribosomal RNA". The record is from RNAcentral.
GUUUGAUCCUGGCUCAGGAUGAACGCUGGCGGCGUGCUUAACACAUGCAAGUCGAACGAGCCUUCGGGCUAGUGGCGGACGGGUGAGUAACGCGUGGGAAUCUGCCCUCAGGAGGGGGAUAACGGCCGGAAACGGCCGCUAAUACCCCAUAUGCCGAGAGGUGAAACGAAACUCGCCUGGGGAUGAGCCCGCGUCUGAUUAGCUAGUUGGUGUGGUUAUGGCGCACCAAGGCAUCGAUCAGUAGCUGGUCUGAGAGGAUGAUCAGCCACACUGGGACUGAGACACGGCCCAGACUCCUACGGGAGGCAGCAGUGGGGAAUUUUCCGCAAUGGGCGCAAGCCUGACGGAGCAACGCCGCGUGAGGGACGAAGGCCUCUGGGCUGUAAACCUCUUUUCUCAAGGAAGAAGACAUGACGGUACUUGAGGAAUAAGCCACGGCUAAUUCCGUGCCAGCAGCCGCGGUAAUACGGGAGUGGCAAGCGUUAUCCGGAUUUAUUGGGCGUAAAGCGUCCGCAGGCGGCCUUGAAAGUCUGUUGUUAAAGCGUGGAGCUCAACUCCAUUUCAGCAAUGGAAACUACAGGGCUAGAGUGUGGUAGGGGCAGAGGGAAUUCCCGGUGUAGCGGUGAAAUGCGUAGAUAUCGGGAAGAACACCAGUGGCGAAGGCGCUCUGCUGGGCCAUAACUGACGCCCAUGGACGAAAGCCAGGGGAGCGAAAGGGAUUAGAUACCCCUGUAGUCCUGGCCGUAAACGAUGAACACUAGGUGUCGGGAGAAUUAACCCUUUCGGUGUCGUAGCCAACGCGUUAAGUGUUCCGCCUGGGGAGUACGCACGCAAGUGUGAAACUCAAAGGAAUUGACGGGGGCCCGCACAAGCGGUGGAGUAUGUGGUUUAAUUCGAUGCAACGCGAAGAACCUUACCAGGGUUUGACAUCCUGCGAAUCCCUUGGAAACUUGGGAGUGCCUUCGGGAGCGCAGUGACAGGUGGUGCAUGGCUGUCGUCAGCUCGUGUCGUGAGAUGUUGGGUUAAGUCCCGCAACGAGCGCAACCCACGUCUUUAGUUGCCAGCAUUCAGUUGGGCACUCUAGAGAGACCGCCGGUGAUAAACCGGAGGAAGGUGUGGAUGACGUCAAGUCAUCAUGCCCCUUACAUCCUGGGCUACACACGUACUACAAUGCUACGGACAAAGGGCAGCAAACUCGCGGGAGCUAGCAAAUCCCAUAAACCGUGGCUCAGUUCAGAUCGUAGGCUGCAACUCGCCUACGUGAAGGAGGAAUCGCUAGUAAUCGCAGGUCAGCAUACUGCGGUGAAUACGUUCCCGGGCCUUGUACACACCGCCCGUCACACCAUGGAAGUUGGCCAUGCCCGAAGUCGUUACUCCAACCCGCAAGGGAGGAGGACGCCGAAGGUGGGGCUGAUGACUGGGUGAAGUCGUAACAAGGUA